This 431-nucleotide ribosomal RNA is filed under the name uncultured bacterium. Its description in RNAcentral is "partial 16S ribosomal RNA". It matches the Rfam family "Bacterial small subunit ribosomal RNA", at positions 38 to 507 of the family's 1533-position model. The record is from RNAcentral.
GGGGGGGGGGGGGGGGGGGCGGAGCGCGGGCAAGUCGGGCGCGCGGCAGGGGGGGGGGCCGCCGGGUGAGUACCGGGUGGGACGGUACCCUUACGUUCGGGAUAGCUCCGGGAAACUGGGAUUAAUACCGAAUGUGCCCUUUGGGGGAAUGAUUCAUCGGAUAAGGAUCGGCCCGCGUUGGAUUAGCUAGUUGGUGGGUUAAAUGCCUACCAAGGCGACGACCAAUAGCUGGUCUGAGAGGAUGAUCAGCCACAGUGGGACUGAGACACGGCCCAAACUCCUACGGGAGGAAGCAGGGGGGAAUAUUGGACGAUCGGCGCAAGCCUGAUCCAGCCAUGCUGCGUGAGUGAUGAAGGCCUUAGGGUUGUAAAGCUCUUUCACCGGAGAAGAUAAUGACGGUAUCCGGAGAAGAAGCCCCGGCUAACUUCGUG